RNAcentral lists this long non-coding RNA (3727 nucleotides) under Gallus gallus (chicken). Lineage: Eukaryota; Metazoa; Chordata; Aves; Galliformes; Phasianidae. The record is from RNAcentral.
GAGGACACUCAGCACAGCUCCCCGCUCACUCCCGCCGCUCUCUUCCCUCCGCCUCAGCUCGCGGCACAGCGGGACGGCACCGCCGCCCUCAGCGCGGACCGCCCGGGGCCCCUCCCGUGGGCUCGGGCUCUUUUCCCCGCUCGGCCCUUUCCCGCUGCCCCCCGGCAUUACCUCUCUGAGACUGCCGUUCUUCGUCUCCUUCGCGCGCCGUCGCCUCUCGGGGCGGGGAAGGGCUCCGCCAUCUUUUUCCAUAGCACCGUGGAGGUGCGGGGCUGCGCCCAUCGUGUGCGGGGAGAGGGGCAGAGAAGGGCCGGGCUGAGGGCACAGCGGUGCCGGCGGAGCGCUCUUCAUAGCGAGGACCUCACGGAGGGGUCGUGGCGGAAAGAUGAAAAACAGCGCCACGCCGCAGUGGGCACCUCUGAAAGCGCUCAGUCGCAGUCGGAAAGCCGUCUGGGAACGCUGCCCACAGUUCUCGCAGUAAUGACUCAGUCGGGAGGAGGGGCGGAAAUGGGGGAGGUUCCGCAGUACUGUUCCUGUUUGUCUUUGGUCUGUGGAAGAGCGGGCAAGCUGCCCAGGAUGACUGCGGGUUGUAAGAGACUAUUCUUUUAUAUCAUUUGACUCAAAGUUUGCCGAGGAGCAAGUCCAGGCAAGUCCUGGGCAAAGGUAGAGAAAUCUUCCUUCUGGAGGACACUGAUGGACGGGUCCUGGCUGAGGGUUGUGAAAUCCUCCAAGGAGCACAGAUGGACACGGCCAGGGGCAGCGAGAGAGAGAUGAGCUGCUGAUAACGGCCGGGAAACGGUCUUUGUGUGUGGGCUUACCUCGAGGAAGAUGGCCAUCUCAGGAGGUACGCACAGGGCUCUUGCUCAAGCACCCAGGGGUGUCAGUAGGCAGCAGAAAAUGGAGGAUAAAAGAGGGGCCAACAACCCCGACAGAUUGGGAGGGGUUUUCUGCCAUCCGAUCCCUCACCACGACGGACUGAGAGGGUUUUCUGCCAUCAGAUCCCUCACCACGACGGACUGAGAGGGAUUUUCUGCCAUCCGAUCCCUCACCACGACAGACCAGUGAAGGGUUUCUGCCAUCAGAUCUCCCUGUUCCUGCUGGCCAUUAUUUCUGAUACAAGCCAGGUUGCCGUUGGCCUUCUUGGCCACCUGGGCACACUGCUGGCUCAUGUUCAGUCUGGCAUCAAUCAACACCCCCAGGUCCAUUUCCUCUACACAGAACUUGAUGUUCUUUCUCGAGGUGUAUCUUUUCCAAGGACCAGUAGCGCUUCUGAUUCAUGCUCUCCGGUUCCCCAGAGUUCAGCACAGUGCGUCACAGGGUGUCGUGCUGUUUCCUCAUAGGCACGUUGGAGUGACGUUGCUCCUGCCGGCCAUCCUUUGGACUUAAAACCUCAAGGGGAGUAAAACAGACGUUUUAUAGGUACGAGGAGGGGUAGGUCUGCCCUCCACGGUAAGAUGCAGGCUGUGUUUCGGUCUUGAGUCAACACCUCUGCCUGUAUCGGGGCACGUCCUGGCCUUCGAUACCACACUCUUUGGCCCGAAAUCUGCGACUGAAUCACUAUGUCGGGUAUCAAAAGGGGAGGUUCUAGUUUGCCACAUGGCCAUGAUUAAUGUCCCCUUUGCAAUGAAAACAGGGGUGUCGACUACUACCUCUGUUGGCCGUACACCCAUUACUGAAGGGUUUACUGAUCCCCCAACCUCUAACAAUCUCCUCCAAGGUGCAAGGAGACCACACCAUUUUAGUCCUGCUUGCACCUUCCAAGGCCAUUUUACCUUGUGUCUCCCGGGCUCCAGGUCAUCAGGGGCAGGGAGCAGAAGAUUAUCCAUGGUGCCAACUUGUGGCUUGAGUGAGGUGUCCUUGCUUGCGAUUUGUAUCCUAAGUGGGGAGGCCCAAGUUGGCUGCAACGUCCUUAAAGCACUGGGUCUGCCAUCUCUUGGUCUCUCAUUCAAGUCUCGCAGGGUUUCAUAAAGCCUUUUGGUCCAGCCCUGCAAGGACUGUGAAUCUGCCUUCCGAGCAGCCUUCAGGAUCCCAUUGUAUCUUUCUAUUAGGCCUGCUCCUGUUGGAUUGUAGGGCAGGUGAAAGCGCCAUUCGAUGUUAUUGUCUUCAGCCCACUUCUGCACAGUCGCACCUGUGAAAUGUGUACCUUGAUCACUCUCAAUGACCUCAGGAGUCCCGUAUGAUGCCAUCAAUCUAGUUAGAGCUUUGAUGGUAGAGGCUUGGUUUGCCUUUGCUACAGGAUAGGCUUGCAUCAGUCCACUCGCUGUAUCGACACAAGUUAGGGCAUAUCUGGCCCCCUCAGAUCGAGGAAGGGGACCUAUAUAAUCAAUCUGCCAUCGCUGUAAUGGGUUGUGUCCUCUAGCGAGAUGGCCGUAGUUUCCGGCAGAGGUCUUGGUCUCAUUCGCGAGCAAGCGUCACAGUCCUGACAUGCCUGGACAAUAUCUGGUAACUGUAUGGGCAACCCCCAUGCUUUAGCUGCUGCCCACAUGGUUUUCUGUCCUGCAUGCCGUAAUUUCCGAUGCAGCCAGUGAGCUAUGUCUUCUGAUGGUGUACUUCCCAACCAUCGGACUCGAGCCAGUGUGUCAGCUUCAUCAUUGCCUGGUGACUGCAAGGCUUGAUGUCCAGAGACGCGGUAUGCUCGUACGGUCCUGUGCCUAACCACGUUCCAUAUAUCAACCCACAUAUCUUUGCCCCAGAUAGGUCGGGCAUGGAUUGUCCAAUCCUGAGUGGCCCACUGUGCUAUCCAGAGCGUGAGCCCUCGGUAGACUGCCCAACUAUCUGUGCAGAUGUUUAGUGCACUGUUGCCAGGCUCUUGAGUUAUCACCAUCCACGCAGCUGGUAGCUCAGCCCACUGGCUACUUUGUCCAUCCCCUUCUUCAAACCAUAUUGUUUCAGUUGAGGGAUGGUAUGCGACAGCUCGCCACCUACUUGGGUUCCCUCUGCUGGAUCCAUCUGUAUACCAGGCAUCUUCUGGGGUAGGGUAUUUCCCCUCCUGUACAGGACUCUUUUCUGGACAAGUAACCACUAUUUCCUCAGGUGUCUCGCUGUGAUAUGUUACUGGCCCAAGUAUCUUUUGAAGUUCUUCCUUCAGUGGAGAUGAUGACAGGCGGCUUCUUUGGCUAAGAUAGGCAGCCCAGUGUGCUACUGUUUGUGAUUGGGCCACCCCGGUCUUAGGAACGUGAGUUAGGUCUUUUACCCACCCCUGAAUUGGUAAAGUUGUUUUGACAACAACCUCUGCGGUCUGAGUUAUUGGUUCUACUGCCUGCAAUGCCGAAUAGGUAGCCAAUAACUGCUUUUCAACCAUGCUGUAUCUCUCUUCUGCUCCAUGCCAAAUCUGUGACCAGAACCCAAUUGGGAUUCGAACAGAACUCUGGCGCUGCCACAGCCCCCAGCCAAACCCUUCUUGGGUUACAUGCACAUCCAGUUCGGCUGGAAGGGUCGGAUCAAAUAUACCUAGCGCCUGGGCCUGUUUAACAGCUAUUUUUGCUUGCUGGAAGGCUUCUUGUUCUGUUCUACCCCAAUCCCAUACUUGGCCAUUUUUUGUUAAUCGAUAUAAAGGUUUUAGCAGUUGUGCUAAGUGGGGAAUAAAGGAUCGCCAAUAUCCUAAUAUAUCCCAGAACUCCUGCAACUGCUUCAGUUUCGUAGGAACCGGGAACGCUUGGAUCUUAUCAGUGAUUGCACCGGGUAACACCUUAGACUUACCUGACCAGACAACACCCAGGAAUUUAAC